UUAAAACUGUGUAAUUCAAAUGGAUGGAAAUUUUAUAUGCAAUUUUUCAUUUUAUAGCCAGAUUGAUACGUAAACCACUGUACAUUUAAUAUUUUAGAUAUUUGAGAUUCAAAUAACUUUUUAUCCUCUAGUUCUUUUGAAAACCAGUUAGUUCUAUUAAAAGACGAAAUACUUGUCUGAUCCUGUUAUGAAACAUGUAGUCAAGAAGUCUAUACAGCCAACAUUGUUCUCGAUAAGAACUCAAAAUCAAAACUACACUGUCAUAAUGAACAAAAUGUAAAUAACGAGCGAGUAUAUUACAAAUCCAACUGUCAAACCGAAUUUUUGCCUUACCCCAAAUCACUGCUGUAAACAUAAUAAUCAGCCUAUUUGACAGCUGUUGGGAUGGAUUUUGCGUGAAACUGCUUACUUCUGUGUUUAUGUCUAUCUAUAGAUAAAUGAAAGAAGUUCAGGCUACUAUAUGCAGUGGAAGGUGUCGUAAUAGCUUGAAUCCACGACAAAUGAACAUUGAAACUAAACAAGUUUACAAGCAAAAAGCGAAAGCGACAGAACUCGUAAUAAAACACGAAUCAACAUAAUUAGCAAAGCAGUACAUUUGCAGCAUCGACUAAGUUCAGAAAACAAUCUUUAUGCUGGUAACAAUCUCUAAACCAGUUUUGAGUAUUUGCCUAUAAAUAUCUUUACUUACUGUAUGCUAUGUUCCAGACAGAUCAUAUAUUGGAUUUUUCCCAACUCCUUCUAGGAAAUAACGCCACUCAAAGUCAGCCAUUUUGCGUGAACUCGGGGUACAUCGAUCAACCCCGCCCUCAGCGAGAUUUUGAGUAAAUUCCAAGAUGUCGGCGUGUCCUCCAAUGAAUAUGAACGUAAAAACAAACUUUAACACUAGACAUUACGUUCAUGUAAUGUUACCUUCAUUUUUGCUUUUCGACAGCUGUUUUCAAAGUGCUUUUAUCAUUUUUGUUUUUACAGACCUCUCUGAAGGCAAAAGUCAUGUGGAAAGACUGAGAAUUGCUGAUAAAAAAACAGAAAAAAAUGAAUACGAAGAGUUGUAGUUUCCACGAUUAUCUGAUAUGAAUAGCAAUCAUUGCCAAUAUCUUGUAACAUUAUUUUAAAACAAUCGAUUUCAACAAGUUAAAACAACAGUUAUAGUCUAGAAGUUACUUACAAGACAUAUUUUCCAUCUUUCUUGCAUUAUUGGGUGUUUUGAUGUAGUUAGUGACAUUCGCACUGAUCAGAUUCAUCAACAUCCACAACUCGCGUCACGUAACGAUCAAAACGAUGUUCCGCCAUAAGUAACUUGUAGUUUUAUGCUUCAACCGCUAGAGGGCCAAAAGAACUAUUUACUUGGUCUGAAAACUAAAUUAAUAAGAGUGCUUUUGUUUUACAGAUGCUUUGGCAAGAAUUAUGAAAUGCAUUUCUCAGUGGAUCUGGGGCAGGAAUUAUAACUUCCUCUAGAAAAUUUGCCAUGUGCUGUAACUGAAAUACUACAUCCAAAAUAAUCGAUAUUGAAUCAAAUUGAAAUCGUAAUCAAAUCGAAUCGAAAGCAUGUGAAUAGUAAUCGAAUCGAAUCAUGAAAAUUUUGUCAAUACCCAGCCCUAGUUAGUGACAUUCGCAUUGAUCAGAUUCAUCCGCUCAGGAGCUGAAGCACAACUCGCGUCACGUAACGAUCAAAACAAUGUUCCGCCGUUAGUAACUUGUAGUUUUAUGCUUCAACUGCUAGAGGGCCAAAAGAACUAUUUACUUAAUUAAUAAGAGUGCAUUUGUUUUACAGAUGCUUGGAUGAGCAUUAUUAAUUGCAUGAAUCUGUGGGUCUGGGGCAGGAAUUAUAACUUCCUUCACGACAGGUGAAGCAGUGCCCUCCACUCUUCAGGAAACUAAGACGAGAGACUUUGAAGAUGCCGGACUGUUGCUGAACUCACCCUACUUCUCAGUGCUGAGAAAAGAGAGACACAUCGACCUCAUCAUUUCACUGGAUUUCAGUGAGGGUGAUCCUUUCUUGACGGUGAAGGAAGCUUCCAAGACGUGCAAGGAACUAAACAUCCCUUUCCCUGAGGUCAACAUUCUCAGUGGACACUCAGAGAAACCGAAGGACUUCUAUGUGUUCAAAGGCCAAAACACUCCAACCGUGAUCCACAUCCCUCUCUUUAAUGUGGUCAACUGUGGAG
Megalobrama amblycephala (Wuchang bream) is the source of this 2165-nucleotide long non-coding RNA. RefSeq lists it as uncharacterized. The record is from RefSeq and is a predicted model, not a curated record. NCBI's taxonomy places the organism in Eukaryota, Metazoa, Chordata, Actinopteri, Cypriniformes, Xenocyprididae. The transcript has 3 exons.